This 503-nucleotide ribosomal RNA is filed under the name Cylindrocarpon sp. MD-16. RNAcentral's name for it is "eukaryotic LSU rRNA". The stretch from base 127 to 280 matches the Rfam family "5.8S ribosomal RNA". The record is from RNAcentral. Lineage: Eukaryota; Fungi; Ascomycota; Sordariomycetes; Hypocreales; Nectriaceae.
UCACUCCAACCCCUGUGACAUACCUAUUUGUUGCCUCGGCGGUGCCUGUUCCGACACCCCGCCAGAGGACCCCAAACCCUGAUUACAUUUAAGAAGUCUUCUGAGUAAACCGAUUAAAUAAAUCAAAACUUUCAACAACGGAUCUCUUGGUUCUGGCAUCGAUGAAGAACGCAGCGAAAUGCGAUAAGUAAUGUGAAUUGCAGAAUUCAGUGAAUCAUCGAAUCUUUGAACGCACAUUGCGCCCGCUAGUAUUCUGGCGGGCAUGCCUGUCCGAGCGUCAUUUCAACCCUCAAGCCCCCGGGCUUGGUGUUGGGGAUCGGCGAGCCUCCGCGCCCGCCGUCCCCUAAAUCUAGUGGCGGUCUCGCUGUAGCUUCCUCUGCGUAGUAGCACACCUCGCACUGGGAAACAGCGCGGCCACGCCGUUAAACCCCCAACUUCUGAACGUUUGACCUCGGAUCAGGUAGGAAUACCCGCUGAACUUAAGCAUAUCAAUAAGCGGAGGA